Molecule: long non-coding RNA, 223 nt
Filed under: Eucalyptus grandis
Lineage: Eukaryota; Viridiplantae; Streptophyta; Magnoliopsida; Myrtales; Myrtaceae
Description: long non-coding RNA (EGRA_LNC005363)
Source: RNAcentral
ACAACAUUCAGAGGAGCCAAAGGUGGAGUUGGGGCAAUCUACACCAACCCAAAUUGAGAUGCCAAUCCACGUGCUUUUUCCGGAAGUGAAGAACUUGUUGAGUAACAUGGAAAUGGCCAAGCCGAAAAAAGAGUUGCUUUGGAAAUGAGUUGGGAUUCAAGAGCCGUGUAGCCAUCAAGUUGAGAAAGGAAAAUCAAGUGGAUGGAAAUGGAAGAAUCGCCAA